RNAcentral lists this ribosomal RNA (305 nucleotides) under uncultured bacterium. Its description in RNAcentral is "bacterial SSU rRNA". It matches the Rfam family "Bacterial small subunit ribosomal RNA", at positions 338 to 635 of the family's 1533-position model. The record is from RNAcentral.
CCUACGGGACGCAGCAGUCGAGAAUCAUUCACAAUGGGGGAAACCCUGAACGAGCAAUGCCGCGUGAGUGAUGAAGGCCCUCUGGGUUGUAAAACUCUGUUGUUUGGAAGGAAUUGUGAGAUUAGGAAAUGAGUCUUACUUGACGGUACCAUUCAAGAAAGCCACGGCUAACUACGUGCCAGCAGCCGCGGUAAUACGUAGGUGGCGAGCGUUAUCCGGAUUUAUUGGGCGUAAAGCGUGCGCAGGCGGUUUGUUAAGUCUAAAAUCAAAGCCCGAAGCUUAACUUCGGUUCGUUUUAGAAACUG